This 452-nucleotide ribosomal RNA is filed under the name uncultured Synechococcus sp. RNAcentral describes it as "bacterial SSU rRNA". It matches the Rfam family "Bacterial small subunit ribosomal RNA", at positions 8 to 506 of the family's 1533-position model. Lineage: Bacteria; Bacillati; Cyanobacteriota; Cyanophyceae; Synechococcales; Synechococcaceae. The record is from RNAcentral.
AGGCUUUGAUCCUGGCUCAGGAUGAACGCUGGCGGCGUGCUUAACACAUGCAAGUCGAACGAACCUUCGGGUUAGUGGCGGACGGGUGAGUAACGCGUGAGAAUCUGCCCUCAGGAGGGGGAUAACGGCUGGAAACGGCCGCUAAUACCCCAUAUGCCGAGAGGUGAAACGAGUUUUCGCCUGAGGAUGAGCUCGCGUCUGAUUAGCUAGUUGGUGGGGUAAGAGCUUACCAAGGCAUCGAUCAGUAGCUGGUCUGAGAGGAUGAUCAGCCACACUGGGACUGAGACACGGCCCAGACUCCUACGGGAGGCAGCAGUGGGGAAUUUUCCGCAAUGGGCGAAAGCCUGACGGAGCAACGCCGCGUGAGGGACGAAGGCCUCUGGGCUGUAAACCUCUUUUCUCAAGGAAGAAGAUCUGACGGUACUUGAGGAAUAAGCCACGGGUAUAUCCGU